This 28-nucleotide small RNA is filed under the name Bombyx mori (domestic silkworm). RNAcentral describes it as "ovarian small RNA-6210". The record is from RNAcentral. Lineage: Eukaryota; Metazoa; Arthropoda; Insecta; Lepidoptera; Bombycidae.
UACUUACUAUCAAGGCUACGUCCGCACA